GGACAGCACUGUGCGGAAUACAUAUUGUUUCAGUUUUACAACCAGGAAAUAUUUGUACAGACAUUUGAGAGCUCUCCAUGAUAUCGACGUAAAUUAAAGCAAAUAAUGAAAUGGAUAACAUGCCAGUAUCGUACGAGUUUGGCCGCUUGUUGAAAUAAUAGUCCAUUUUUUGAGACCAGCAUAAAGAAGAAAGUGAGUAACACUAUAAGGACAUAAUGAUAUUUAUGUGAAAUCACAAGUUGGAGGAACAACUGUAGAUGCAGCAGCUGACUCCAAGGACACCAGUGCCUCUCAAGAUGAAGGAAAUCCUCCCAGAUUCACUCCACUCCACUUCAAUAAAAAUAGUUAAUGCUGUUAUUAAGUCUUCUCUUAUUCAGAGUCACAUAUAAUACAAAGCACGCAUUGCACAUCUUACUUUGAGAAAUACAUUGAAGCAAUCCUGCAUAUGAGAGAUUAAAAUUAAAAAAAUGCACAACAAAGAAUGUAUGAUGUUUUUUGUUCAUUUGUCUGCUCCUUACUGACCACUCAUAAUUAAUGGCUCUGCUGACGCACAUAAUCAUUGCUUCUGUCAUAAUCGCUGUUUCAUUCUAUUGUUCUUUCAUCAAUUUUAACUUUACGACAUCCAAGGGGUGUUGCACCAUGUACCUACACAUUGUUAUCCUAACUAACUUUUGAAGGCAUGAGCUCAAC
Long non-coding RNA from Schistocerca gregaria, 690 nucleotides. RefSeq lists it as uncharacterized. Lineage: Eukaryota; Metazoa; Arthropoda; Insecta; Orthoptera; Acrididae. The record is from RefSeq and is a predicted model, not a curated record. The transcript is spliced from 3 exons.